Molecule: ribosomal RNA, 466 nt
Filed under: uncultured bacterium
Lineage: Bacteria
Description: partial 16S ribosomal RNA
Rfam family: Bacterial small subunit ribosomal RNA
Source: RNAcentral
GACGAACGCUGGCGGCGUGCUUAACACAUGCAAGUCGAACGGUAAGGCUCCAGCUUGCUGGGGUACACGAGUGGCGAACGGGUGAGUAACACGUGGGUGACCUGCCCUGCACUUCGGGAUAAGCCUGGGAAACUGGGUCUAAUACCGGAUAGGACCAUGGUGUGGAUACUGUGGUGGAAAGUUUUUUCGGUGUGGGAUGGGCCCGCGGCCUAUCAGCUUGUUGGUGGGGUAAUGGCCUACCAAGGCGGCGACGGGUAGCCGGCCUGAGAGGGUGGACGGCCACAUUGGGACUGAGACACGGCCCAGGCUCCUGCGGGAGGCAGCAGUGGGGAAUAUUGCACAAUGGGCGGAAGCCUGAUGCAGCGACGCCGCGUGGGGGAUGACGGCCUUCGGGUUGUAAACUCCUUUCACCAUCGACGAAGGGUUUCUGACGGUAGAUGGAGAAGAAGCACCGGCUAACUACGUG